GGCUGAGUGGCAGAAUGGCUAUGCAGCGGAUUGCAAAUCCGUGUAUCUCGGUUCGACUCCGGGCUCAGCCUCCA
Molecule: transfer RNA, 74 nt
Filed under: Gammaproteobacteria bacterium
Lineage: Bacteria; Pseudomonadati; Pseudomonadota; Gammaproteobacteria
Description: tRNA-Cys
Rfam family: tRNA
About the family: Transfer RNA (tRNA) molecules are approximately 80 nucleotides in length. Their secondary structure includes four short double-helical elements and three loops (D, anti-codon, and T loops).
Source: RNAcentral